This 253-nucleotide ribosomal RNA is filed under the name uncultured bacterium. RNAcentral describes it as "partial 16S ribosomal RNA". It matches the Rfam family "Bacterial small subunit ribosomal RNA", at positions 524 to 776 of the family's 1533-position model. The record is from RNAcentral.
UACAGAGGGGGCAAGCGUUGUUCGGAAUUACUGGGCGUAAAGGGCGCGUAGGCGGCCUGUUAAGUCGGACGUGAAAUCCCUCGGCUCAACCGGGGAACUGCGUCCGAUACUGGCGGGCUUGAAUUCGGGAGAGGGAUGUGGAAUUCCAGGUGUAGCGGUGAAAUGCGUAGAUAUCUGGAGGAACACCGGUGGCGAAGGCGGCAUCCUGGACCGACAUUGACGCUGAGGUGCGAAAGCGUGGGGAGCAAACAGG